UUGACGGGGCCCGCACAAGCGGUGGAGUAUGUGGUUUAAUUCGAUGCAACGCGAAGAACCUUACCUGGUCUUGACAUCCCGGAGACCCUUAGGAAACUAGGGGGUGCUUCCAUCUGGAAGAAUCUGGAGACAGGUGCUGCAUGGCUGUCGUCAGCUCGUGUCGUGAGAUGUUGGGUUUAGUCCCGCAACGAGCGCAACCCUUGCCUUUAGUUGCCAGCAGUUCGGCUGGGCACUCUAAAGGGACUGCCGGUGUUAAACCGGAGGAAGGUGGGGAUGACGUCAAGUCCUCAUGGCCUUUAUGACCAGGGCUACACACGUACUACAAUGGCCGAUACAAGGGCAGCGACACUGCGAGGUGAAGCCAAUCCCGUAAAAUCGGUCUCAGUCCGGAUUGGAGUCUGCAACUCGACUCCAUGAAGUUGGAAUCGCUAGUAAUCGUGGAUCAGCAUGCCACGGUGAAUACGUUCCCGGGCCUU
Molecule: ribosomal RNA, 476 nt
Filed under: uncultured Desulfobulbus sp.
Lineage: Bacteria; Pseudomonadati; Thermodesulfobacteriota; Desulfobulbia; Desulfobulbales; Desulfobulbaceae
Description: bacterial SSU rRNA
Rfam family: Bacterial small subunit ribosomal RNA
Source: RNAcentral